AGAGUUUGAUCCUGGCUCAGGAUGAACGCUAGCUACAGGCUUAACACAUGCAAGUCGAGGGGCAGCAUGGUCUUAGCUUGCUAAGGCCGAUGGCGACCGGCGCACGGGUGAGUAACACGUAUCCAACCUGCCGUCUACUCUUGGACAGCCUUCUGAAAGGAAGAUUAAUACAAGAUGGCAUCAUGAGUCCGCAUGUUCACAUGAUUAAAGGUAUUUCGGUAGACGAUGGGGAUGCGUUCCAUUAGAUAGUAGGCGGGGUAACGGCCCACCUAGUCUUCGAUGGAUAGGGGUUCUGAGAGGAAGGUCCCCCACAUUGGAACUGAGACACGGUCCAAACUCCUACGGGAGGCAGCAGUGAGGAAUAUUGGUCAAUGGGCGAGAGCCUGAACCAGCCAAGUAGCGUGAAGGAUGACUGCCCUAUGGGUUGUAAACUUCUUUUAUAAAGGAAUAAAGUCGGGUAUGCAUACCCGUUUGCAUGUACUUUAUGAAUAAGGAUCGGCUAACUCCGUGCCAGCAGCCGCGGUAAUACGGAGGAUCCGAGCGUUAUCCGGAUUUAUUGGGUUUAAAGGGAGCGUAGAUGGAUGUUUAAGUCAGUUGUGAAAGUUUGCGGCUCAACCGUAAAAUUGCAGUUGAUACUGGAUAUCUUGAGUGCAGUUGAGGCAGGCGGAAUUCGUGGUGUAGCGGUGAAAUGCUUAGAUAUCACGAAGAACUCCGAUUGCGAAGGCAGCCUGCUAAGCUGCAACUGACAUUGAGGCUCGAAAGUGUGGGUAUCAAACAGGAUUAGAUACCCUGGUAGUCCACACGGUAAACGAUGAAUACUCGCUGUUUGCGAUAUACAGCAAGCGGCCAAGCGAAAGCGUUAAGUAUUCCACCUGGGGAGUACGCCGGCAACGGUGAAACUCAAAGGAAUUGACGGGGGCCCGCACAAGCGGAGGAACAUGUGGUUUAAUUCGAUGAUACGCGAGGAACCUUACCCGGGCUUAAAUUGCAGAUGAAUUACGGUGAAAGCCGUAAGCCGCAAGGCAUCUGUGAAGGUGCUGCAUGGUUGUCGUCAGCUCGUGCCGUGAGGUGUCGGCUUAAGUGCCAUAACGAGCGCAACCCUUGUUGUCAGUUACUAACAGGUUCUGCUGAGGACUCUGACAAGACUGCCAUCGUAAGAUGUGAGGAAGGUGGGGAUGACGUCAAAUCAGCACGGCCCUUACGUCCGGGGCUACACACGUGUUACAAUGGGGGGUACAGAGGGCCGCUACCACGCGAGUGGAUGCCAAUCCCCAAAACCUCUCUCAGUUCGGACUGGAGUCUGCAACCCGACUCCACGAAGCUGGAUUCGCUAGUAAUCGCGCAUCAGCCACGGCGCGGUGAAUACGUUCCCGGGCCUUGUACACACCGCCCGUCAAGCCAUGGGAGCCGGGGGUACCUGAAGUGCGUAACCGCGAGGAGCGCCCUAGGGUAAAACUGGUGACUGGGGCUAAGUCGUAACAAGGUA
This 1486-nucleotide ribosomal RNA is filed under the name metagenome. Its description in RNAcentral is "bacterial SSU rRNA". It matches the Rfam family "Bacterial small subunit ribosomal RNA". The record is from RNAcentral.